Molecule: ribosomal RNA, 497 nt
Filed under: uncultured bacterium
Lineage: Bacteria
Description: partial 16S ribosomal RNA
Rfam family: Bacterial small subunit ribosomal RNA
Source: RNAcentral
GAUGAACGCUGGCGGCGUGCCUAAUACAUGCAAGUCGAGCGAACAGACGAGGAGCUUGCUCCUCUGACGUUAGCGGCGGACGGGUGAGUAACACGUGGAUAACCUACCUAUAAGACUGGGAUAACUUCGGGAAACCGGAGCUAAUACCGGAUAAUAUAUUGAACCGCAUGGUUCAAUAGUGAAAGACGGUUUUGCUGUCACUUAUAGAUGGAUCCGCGCCGCAUUAGCUAGUUGGUAAGGUAACGGCUUACCAAGGCGACGAUGCGUAGCCGACCUGAGAGGGUGAUCGGCCACUCUGGAACUGAGACACGGUCCAGACUCCUACGGGAGGCAGCAGUAGGGAAUCUUCCGCAAAGGGCGAAAGCCUGACGGAGCAACGCCGCGUGAGUGAUGAAGGUCUUCGGAUCGUAAAACUCUGUUAUUAGGGAAGAACAAAUGUGUAAGUAACUAUGCACGUCUUGACGGUACCUAAUCAGAAAGCCACGGCUAACUACGUG